This 497-nucleotide ribosomal RNA is filed under the name uncultured bacterium. Its description in RNAcentral is "partial 16S ribosomal RNA". It matches the Rfam family "Bacterial small subunit ribosomal RNA", at positions 28 to 507 of the family's 1533-position model. The record is from RNAcentral.
GAUGAACGCUGGCGGCGUGCCUAAUACAUGCAAGUCGAGCGAACAGACGAGGAGCUUGCUCCUCUGACGUUAGCGGCGGACGGGUGAGUAACACGUGGAUAACCUACCUAUACGACUGGGAUAACUUCGGGAAACCGGAGCUAAUACCGGAUAAUAUAUUGAACCGCAUGGUUCAAUAGUGAAAGACGGUUUUGCUGUCACUUAUAGAUGGAUCCGCGCCGCAUUAGCUAGUUGGUAAGGUAACGGCUUACCAAGGCAACGAUGCGUAGCCCACCUGAGAGGGUGAUCGGCCACACUGGAACUGAGACACGGUCCAGACUCCUACGGGAGGCAGCAGUAGGGAAUCUUCCGCAAUGGGCGAAAGCCUGACGGAGCCACGCCGCGUGAGUGAUGAAGGUCUUCGGAUCGUAAAACUCUGUUAUUAGGGAAGAACAAAUGUGUAAGUAACUAUGCACGUCUUGACGGUACCUAAUCAGAAAGCCACGGCUAACUACGUG